Molecule: ribosomal RNA, 253 nt
Filed under: uncultured bacterium
Lineage: Bacteria
Description: partial 16S ribosomal RNA
Rfam family: Bacterial small subunit ribosomal RNA
Source: RNAcentral
UACGUAGGGUGCAAGCGUUGUCCGGAAUUAUUGGGCGUAAAGAGCUUGUAGGCGGUUUGUCGAGUCUGCUGUGAAAUUUCGGGGCUCAACCCCGAACUUGCAGUGGGGACGGGCAGACUAGAGUGUGGUAGGGGAGACUGGAAUUCCUGGUGUAGCGGUGAAAUGCGCAGAUAUCAGGAGGAACACCGAUGGCGAAGGCAGGUCUCUGGGCCAUAACUGACGCUGAGAAGCGAAAGCAUGGGGAGCGAACAGG